Molecule: transfer RNA, 88 nt
Filed under: SAR324 cluster bacterium
Lineage: Bacteria; Deltaproteobacteria
Description: tRNA-Ser
Rfam family: tRNA
About the family: Transfer RNA (tRNA) molecules are approximately 80 nucleotides in length.
Source: RNAcentral
GGAAAGGUGUCCGAGUGGUUUAAGGAGCACGCCUGGAAAGCGUGUGUAUGUAACAAUACCGGGGGUUCGAAUCCCCCCCUUUCCGCCA